This 468-nucleotide ribosomal RNA is filed under the name uncultured bacterium. RNAcentral's name for it is "partial 16S ribosomal RNA". It matches the Rfam family "Bacterial small subunit ribosomal RNA", at positions 28 to 507 of the family's 1533-position model. The record is from RNAcentral.
GAUGAACGCUGGCGGCGUGCUUAACACAUGCAAGUCGAACGGAAAGGCCCAAGCUUGCUUGGCUACUCGAGUGGCGAGCGGGUGAGUAACACGUGGGUGAUCUGCCCUGCACUUCGGGAUAAGCCUGGGAAACUGGGUCUAAUACCGGAUAGGACGAUGGUUUGGAUGCCAUUGUGGAAAGUUUUUUCGGUGUGGGAUGAGCUCGCGGCCUAUCAGCUUGUUGGUGGGGUAAUGGCCUACCAAGGCGUCGACGGGUAGCCGGCCUGAGAGGGUGUACGGCCACAUUGGGACUGCGAUACGGCCCAGACUCCUACGGGGGGCAGCAGUGGGGAAUAUUGCACAAUGGGCGCCAGCCUGAUGCAGCGACGCCGCGUGGGGGAUGACGGCCUUCGGGUUGUAAACUCCUUUCGCUAGGGACGAAGCGUUUUUGUGACGGUACCUGGAGAAGAAGCACCGGCUAACUACGUG